Chlorocebus sabaeus (green monkey) is the source of this 301-nucleotide non-coding RNA. It matches the Rfam family "Metazoan signal recognition particle RNA". Rfam says of the family: The signal recognition particle (SRP) is a universally conserved ribonucleoprotein. NCBI's taxonomy places the organism in Eukaryota, Metazoa, Chordata, Mammalia, Primates, Cercopithecidae. The record is from Rfam.
ACCAGGCACCAUGGCAUGUGCCUGUAGUCCCAGUUACCCAGGUGGCUGAGGCAGGAGGAUCGCUUGAGCCCAGGGAGUUCUGAGCCAUAGUGCGGUUAUGCCGAUUGGGUGUCCACACGUAAGUUCAGCAUCAUUAUGGUGACCUCCCGUAGUGGGGAACCACCAGGUUGCCUAAGGAGGGGUGAACCAACCCAGGUCAGAAACAGAGCAGGUCAAAACUCCCAUCUGAUCAAUAGUGGGAUUGCCCCUUUGAGUAUCCACUACACUCAAGCCUGGGCAACAUGGUGAGACCUCUUCUCUC